GUGGGGAAUAUUGGGCAAUGGGGGAAACCCUGACCCAGCGACGCCGCGUGAGGGAAGACGGCCUUCGGGUUGUAAACCUCUUUUGUACGGGAAGAAGGAAGUGACGGUACUGUACGAAUAAGUCCCGGCUAACUACGUGCCAGCAGCCGCGGUAAUACGUAGGGGACGAGCGUUGUCCGGAAUUACUGGGCGUAAAGGGCGCGCAGGCUGUGCUGCAAGUCAGCUGUGAAAUGUCUGGGCUUAACCCGGGCAUGCGGUUGAGACUGCAGUGCUGGAGUGCUGUAGAGGCAAGUGGAAUUCCCAGUGUAGCGGUGAAAUGCGUAGAUAUUGGGAAGAACACCGGUGGCGAAGGCGACUUGCUGGGCAGCAACUGACGCUGAGGCGCGAAAGCCAGGGGAGCAAACGGGAUUAGAAACCCGGGUAGUCC
Molecule: ribosomal RNA, 427 nt
Filed under: uncultured bacterium
Lineage: Bacteria
Description: partial 16S ribosomal RNA
Rfam family: Bacterial small subunit ribosomal RNA
Source: RNAcentral